This 253-nucleotide ribosomal RNA is filed under the name uncultured bacterium. RNAcentral's name for it is "partial 16S ribosomal RNA". It matches the Rfam family "Bacterial small subunit ribosomal RNA", at positions 524 to 776 of the family's 1533-position model. The record is from RNAcentral.
UACGUAGGGGGCAAGCGUUGUCCGGAUUUAUUGGGCGUAAAGAGCGUGUAGGCGGCCAGGUAGGUCAGCUGUGAAAACUCGAGGCUCAACCUCGAGACGCCGGUUGAAACCAUCUGGCUAGAGUCCGGAAGAGGAGAGUGGAAUUCCUGGUGUAGCGGUGAAAUGCGCAGAUAUCAGGAGGAACACCGGUGGCGAAGGCGGGACUCUGGGCCGAUACUGACGCUGAGGAGCGAAAGCGUGGGGAGCAAACAGG